AGAGUUUGAUCAUGGCUCAGAUUGAACGCUGGCGGCAUGCCUAACACAUGCAAGUCGAACGGAAGUAGCAAUACUUCAGUGGCGGACGGGUGAGUAAUACAUAGGAAUCUGCCCUUAAGUGGGGGAUAGCCCGGGGAAACCCGGAUUAAUACCGCAUGAUCUCGUAAGAGCAAAGUGGGGGAUCGCAAGACCUCACGCUUUUGGAGGAGCCUAUGUCGGAUUAGCUAGUUGGUAGGGUAAUGGCCUACCAAGGCAACGAUCCGUAACUGGUCUGAGAGGAUGAUCAGUCACACCGGAACUGAGACACGGUCCGGACUCCUACGGGAGGCAGCAGUGGGGAAUAUUGGACAAUGGGCGAAAGCCUGAUCCAGCAAUGCCGCGUGUGUGAAGAAGGCCUUCGGGUUGUAAAGCACUUUAGGUCGGAAAGAAAAAGCUUCACCUAAUACGUGAAGCCUCGACGGUACCGACAGAAUAAGCACCGGCUAACUCUGUGCCAGCAGCCGCGGUAAUACAGAGGGUGCAAGCGUUAAUCGGAUUUACUGGGCGUAAAGCGUGCGUAGGCGGUUCAUUAAGUCGGAUGUGAAAGCCCUGGGCUCAACCUAGGAAUUGCAUUCGAUACUGAUGGACUAGAGAUCGGUAGAGGGCGGCGGAAUUCCGGGUGUAGCAGUGAAAUGCGUAGAUAUCCGGAGGAACACCGAUGGCGAAGGCAACCGCCUGGGCCUGAUCUGACGCUGAGGCACGAAAGCGUGGGGAGCAAACAGGAUUAGAUACCCUAGUAGUCC
Molecule: ribosomal RNA, 782 nt
Filed under: uncultured bacterium
Lineage: Bacteria
Description: bacterial SSU rRNA
Rfam family: Bacterial small subunit ribosomal RNA
Source: RNAcentral